This is an RNA transcript of Musa acuminata AAA Group (dessert banana), 2595 nucleotides long. It is a transcript of the gene named eukaryotic peptide chain release factor subunit 1-3-like, with no coding region annotated. The record is from RefSeq and is a predicted model, not a curated record. The transcript is spliced from 2 exons. Lineage: Eukaryota; Viridiplantae; Streptophyta; Magnoliopsida; Zingiberales; Musaceae.
UCCUCGGCAACCUGUUCUUCGGUGUCUUCUCUUUAAUUUCGAUUUAUUCCCUUUUUCUUGUUUCAAUUUCGAUUCAAUCUUUGUCGACAUGUGUAACUCGUUCUUUUUGGAGAAGUUUUGUUGGUUGUUGGAUUAUGUUUAUAGCCGACAGAAGCUUGGAUUUGUGGAACUUGACUUUAGAGGCGAUGUUGUGGCCUGAAUCUCCCCUAUUUCGUCUUCUAGGGUUUUGGUUGCUCUUUGCAAUUCUUUAUGGCAACAAGGAUAGAAAAAACUGACGUCGACAAAUACGGAUCUUUUUAGUUGUGAUGGUUAUUUGGUUUGUGGGGUUUGGGAUUGUUUUAUUAUCCGCGGCGCUGAAUGGUCCAACUUUUUUUGUGGAUUUUGCCGUGAAAAAUGAGGACUUUUUUUUUUCUCUAGAUUUGCUGUCAGUCGCAGGCUUUACCUUAGGGGCAUGAACUUUGGUGUUUUAAGAUAAAACGUCUUGUUUGUGGUAUGUUAUUAUCCUUAUGAUUCGCUAAGUACUUAUGGACAUCGUUGUUAUGAGAACUUGCUGUCUCUGGUCCUGUUUUCUCCUAUCUUUGCGAGGAAAUCAUUUUGAACCUUUGGCCUGGUGAUAUCUCAUGGAUCCAAGAUGUUUCACCCAAUUAAAAUUCUGAUCAUGAAGAUAAGUGACGUUGAAUGUUUGUGAAUGCUAGCCCGAUGAUAGCUUGACAUGUCGGCAAAUUUUGUUAUCAGUCUAUGUUAAUUACUCCUUGAAGCAUCAUGGGUUGUAUGUUUCCUGUUGUCAUUGCCUUCGAUGCACAAUGACUGCUGGCUUAAUUGUCAUUUACCCACUUGUAAUGUGGAUCUCUCCGGCGUAAGGGUUUGAUGUCAUUGUUCAAGCUCAAGUAUAACCCAUAAUCAAACACCAGUAUGGUGCAUGAAAGGUCCAGUCCAAUGGUGGUUUCACUUUGUGAUGUACCUUUAGUCCUAUUCAUGAGUCUCUCUUUUCUACUUGGACCUCUCAUCAUAUCAAUACUGGUCACUCGAUGACCCUUGACCUGUUUACCUAUUAUCCUAUAACCAAUCUGUUAACUUGAUGAACCUAUUAUCCUUAACCAAUCUGUUAACUUGAUGAGCUUAUUUAAUUAUUCUCCAACUUUCAGUGUCAGACUAAACUGGAGGUGUUACACUAAUUAUAUAAAUCUAUCGUUGAAGUUUUGAAGAGCAACUAAGAAGGAAAUACUGUUUCUAGCAUUAGAAUGUGCUUAUCAAAAGAAAGAAACAUUUUAUGAAAAGUGUGAUUGUCUGGAACGACAAAACAUUUCCUUGGUGAUGUUUUUUAAGAACAAUGGUUUAGUGACUUUCAUGGUGGUGAUUCUCUUGAGAUAUACUAAAUCCGUUUUGAAUGUGACCUUUGUCAAUCCUAAUAUAGAUUGGUUCAUUGUUUACCACUUUAAUUUUUAAAAACAAAUGGGCACAACUUCUUGGGUUAAGCAUACUUUAACAAUAUCAUGAAGAUCAGGCGAACAUGCCCUUUCUCUGCCAUGAAUUUGCACCUGAUUUCAGCUUGCUCUUACAUCGUUUAUCAUUUGGGAAAUAGUUAUGAAACCGGUGAGUGGUCGUUGGGGUUAUGAAUAUAUUGGCUCAACACAGACAAUGGUAUGAUUCGAUGGUUUGCGAUAUAAAUAAUGUUUUAUUUUAUGUUUGGGAUUAAGGUAGUGACAAUCUUCUUAGCAAGUUAUUGGUAUGCCUCUCCUGAAUCUUUAUAUCUUACUAUGGUACCUACGGUAGCUAUUGGCCAGUGAAUCAUUCAUCAUAGUUUCAGAUAUCAUAAUAUAACAAUCAUACUGUAGUACGAUUUCAUUAUAGUGUACCUGCUGUACUGGUCGGUAUUGGCAUUAAUUCUAGUGACUGUUUUUUGGUGUAUCCAGGCAUAGCAUUUUGUGCUGGUCAAUAUAUAUGUUGGUCUAAUAACGCUCUGUUAUGGGUAACAUUUGCAAUAUUUGGAACUUCCUUGGCUUUUUACAGAUCUCAAUGACGGCAAAAGAUCUAAGUAGCCAACCCUAAAUAGUUGAGACUUACAACUUUGUUGUUGUUGUGGAACCUCCUUAUAUGUACUGUUGACCAUGAAGGUUAAAGCUGCUAACACAAUCUAAUUACACUGUAUAUCACCAAUUUAAAUAUCUACGGUGUCAUUUUAAAAACAGCAUUUUGUCAUGAGAGAAAGAGAGAGAGAGAGAGUUUAAUGCUUAGUUGGUCUAUUAGUGUGUUAGACUCCGGUUCGAAAUCUUUCAUAGAAAUGUGCAGAAUCUCCUGUGCUGUUUGAACUGUUUUCUUGAACAUAAUGAUUAAGAGAUCAGAUAUAUCACCAUGGGUAUGAUCAUGACCCUUCCAGAUAUUGUUAUGUUUGUGGGUGAGUUUCUUUUACCAUAUUUUGUGAUAUGUUGCCACUAAUUCCGUUGUUUGUGCAGUGUUCUUAUUCUUCAUGGUAAUUUGUUUAUCGGUUAAUUGUUCAGACUUCACUUUGAAUUCAUACUAAUUACUUUUUUGUUUCGUUCUUUCUCUAAUAGUCUUCAUUUAUUUCUUCAUUCUUAUUGUAUGUUUAAUUGAUUC